RNAcentral lists this ribosomal RNA (20 nucleotides) under Misgurnus anguillicaudatus (oriental weatherfish). The record is from RNAcentral. Lineage: Eukaryota; Metazoa; Chordata; Actinopteri; Cypriniformes; Cobitidae.
AUACCAGUUGCUGUAAGCAU